This 860-nucleotide ribosomal RNA is filed under the name uncultured bacterium. Its description in RNAcentral is "bacterial SSU rRNA". It matches the Rfam family "Bacterial small subunit ribosomal RNA", at positions 524 to 1380 of the family's 1533-position model. The record is from RNAcentral.
UACGGAGGGUGCAAGCGUUACUCGGAAUCACUGGGCGUAAAGCGCGCGCAGGCGGUUAGGAAAGUCAGAAGUGAAAUCCUACGGCUCAAUCGUAGAACUGCUUCUGAAACUCUCUAACUAGAGUGUGGGAGAGGUGAGUGGAAUUAGUGGUGUAGGGGUAAAAUCCGCAGAGAUCACUAGGAAUACCAAAAGCGAAGGCAACUCACUGGAACAUUACUGACGCUGAGGCGCGAAAGCGUGGGGAGCAAACAGGAUUAGAUACCCUGGUAGUCCACGCCCUAAACGAUGAAUGCUAGUCGUUGGAGUGCUAGUCACUUCAGUGAUGCAGUUAACACAUUAAGCAUUCCGCCUGGGGAGUACGGUCGCAAGAUUAAAACUCAAAGGAAUAGACGGGGACCCGCACAAGUGGUGGAGCAUGUGGUUUAAUUCGAAGAUACGCGAAGAACCUUACCUGGCCUUGACAUCCCAAGAACCCUCCAGAGAUGGAGGGGUGCCCCUUUUUGGGGAACUUGGUGACAGGUGCUGCACGGCUGUCGUCAGCUCGUGUCGUGAGAUGUUGGGUUAAGUCCCGCAACGAGCGCAACCCUCGUGUUUAGUUGCUAACAGUUCGGCUGAGCACUCUAGACAGACUGCCUCCGCAAGGAGGAGGAAGGUGAGGACGACGUCAAGUCAUCAUGGUCCUUACGGCCAGGGCGACACACGUGCUACAAUGGGUAGGACAAUGAGACGCAAUACCGCGAGGUGGAGCAAAUCUAUAAACCUACUCUCAGUUCGGAUUGUAGUCUGCAACUCGACUACAUGAAGCUGGAAUCACUAGUAAUCGUAGAUCAGCCAUGCUACGGUGAAUACGUUCCCGGGUC